RNAcentral lists this ribosomal RNA (771 nucleotides) under Staphylococcus sp. SK94. Its description in RNAcentral is "bacterial SSU rRNA". It matches the Rfam family "Bacterial small subunit ribosomal RNA", at positions 69 to 822 of the family's 1533-position model. Lineage: Bacteria; Bacillati; Bacillota; Bacilli; Caryophanales; Staphylococcaceae. The record is from RNAcentral.
ACAGAUGAGAAGCUUGCUUCUCUGAUGUUAGCGGCGGACGGGUGAGUAACACGUGGGUAACCUACCUAUAAGACUGGGAUAACUCCGGGAAACCGGGGCUAAUACCGGAUAAUAUAUUGAACCGCAUGGUUCAAUGUUGAAAGACGGUUUCGGCUGUCACUUAUAGAUGGACCCGCGCCGUAUUAGCUAGUUGGUAAGGUAACGGCUUACCAAGGCAACGAUACGUAGCCGACCUGAGAGGGUGAUCGGCCACACUGGAACUGAGACACGGUCCAGACUCCUACGGGAGGCAGCAGUAGGGAAUCUUCCGCAAUGGGCGAAAGCCUGACGGAGCAACGCCGCGUGAGUGAUGAAGGUCUUAGGAUCGUAAAACUCUGUUGUUAGGGAAGAACAAAUUUGUUAGUAACUGAACAAGUCUUGACGGUACCUAACCAGAAAGCCACGGCUAACUACGUGCCAGCAGCCGCGGUAAUACGUAGGUGGCAAGCGUUAUCCGGAAUUAUUGGGCGUAAAGCGCGCGUAGGCGGUUUCUUAAGUCUGAUGUGAAAGCCCACGGCUCAACCGUGGAGGGUCAUUGGAAACUGGGGAACUUGAGUGCAGAAGAGGAGAGUGGAAUUCCAUGUGUAGCGGUGAAAUGCGCAGAGAUAUGGAGGAACACCAGUGGCGAAGGCGGCUCUCUGGUCUGUAACUGACGCUGAUGUGCGAAAGCGUGGGGAUCAAACAGGAUUAGAUACCCUGGUAGUCCACGCCGUAAACGAUGAGUGCUAAGUG